GUUUUACAUAUAAAUUUUAUUUACCGCUCCUCGCUGCUGCUCUGCCUCUUUAACUGAUAUCAGUGUUAUUGAUCUCAGCCAAUCCUAUGCUUUCGCAUAGGGAAGCAUUGGGAGGAUAGGGCGCAUGCGCAGCAAGACGCCACAUUGUGCCAAGUUUAACUCUGUUAUAGCUGCGGAAGUACCUCUAGUGCCUGUGUUCCUGACUGCCAUUUGCGGCAUGUUAACACUGAAAUGUAAACCUUGCUGUUCUUGCAAAACGGCAAUCUUUUCAGUUGCAUGGUCAAAAUGACAGGAGCAUGACAUCCACACCACUUCAUUAAGUGGA
Pelobates cultripes (western spadefoot toad) is the source of this 325-nucleotide non-coding RNA. Lineage: Eukaryota; Metazoa; Chordata; Amphibia; Anura; Pelobatidae. The record is from the annotation of a GenBank genome assembly.